GACGAACGCUGGCGGCGUGCUUAACACAUGCAAGUCGAACGAUGAAGCCGGAGCUUGCUCCGGUGGAUUAGUGGCGAACGGGUGAGUAACACGUGAGCAAUCUGCCCUUGACUCUGGGAUAACUGCGGGAAACUGUAGCUAAUACCGGAUACGACACCUUGGGGCAUCCCAGGGUGUGGAAAGAAUUUCGGUCAAGGAUGAGCUCGCGGCCUAUCAGCUAGUUGGUGAGGUAAUGGCUCACCAAGGCGACGACGGGUAGCCGGCCUGAGAGGGUGGGCGGACAGAAUGGGACUGGGACACGGGCCAGACUCUGACGGGAGGGAGCAGUGGGGAAUAUUGCACCAUGGGCGCAAGCCUGAUGCAGCAACGCCGCGUGAGGGAUGACGGCCUUCGGGUUGUAAACCUCUUUUAGUAGGGAAGAAGCGAAAGUGACGGUACCUGCAGAGAAAGCACCGGCUAACUACGUGCCAGCCGCCGCGGUAA
This 483-nucleotide ribosomal RNA is filed under the name uncultured bacterium. RNAcentral's name for it is "partial 16S ribosomal RNA". It matches the Rfam family "Bacterial small subunit ribosomal RNA", at positions 28 to 523 of the family's 1533-position model. The record is from RNAcentral.